GAUUAACGCUGGCGGCAUGCCUAAUACAUGCAAGUCGAACAAAAGUAGUUUACUACCUAGUGGCGAACGGGUGAGUAACACGUAUCUAACCUACCAUUUAGUGGGGAAUAACUGUUGGAAACGACAGCUAAUACCGCAUAUGUUAUUAAUAUGAUUUAUUAAUAAUGAAAGGAGCUUUCAAGCUUCGCUAAUUGAUGGGGAUGCGGCGCAUUAGCUAGUUGGUAAGGUAAUGGCUUACCAAGGCAAUGAUGCGUAGCCGAUCUGAGAGGAUGAACGGCCACAUUGGGACUGAGACACGGCCCAAACUUCUACGGAAGGCAGCAGUAGGGAAUUUUUCACAAUGGGCGAAAGCCUGAUGGAGCUGUGCCGCGGACUGAUGAAGGUCUUCGGAUUGUGUAGGUCUGUUU
Molecule: ribosomal RNA, 407 nt
Filed under: Spiroplasma endosymbiont of Hypoaspis miles
Lineage: Bacteria; Bacillati; Mycoplasmatota; Mollicutes; Entomoplasmatales; Spiroplasmataceae
Description: bacterial SSU rRNA
Rfam family: Bacterial small subunit ribosomal RNA
Source: RNAcentral